Molecule: long non-coding RNA, 1273 nt
Organism: Gadus chalcogrammus (walleye pollock)
Lineage: Eukaryota; Metazoa; Chordata; Actinopteri; Gadiformes; Gadidae
Exons: 8
Source: RefSeq, a predicted model, not a curated record
UCAAGCGAUAAAUACGUUUAUUUGUCUAUAGAAAAUAAUCGGAGGUAAAUUCCAGCGAUAAAUACGUUUAUUUGUCUAUAGAAAAUAAUUGGAGGUAACUUCCGUCCAGCUACAGUACUUCCGUCACGCCAGGGUGUUCUGUCACGCCAGGGUGUUGUUCUCCGGGGCUGCAGCUGGAUACUAUUGGAGUUUAGCGGAAAUCUACCUGAAAUUACCUGAAAUUAGAGUGUACCCGCCCGAGCGAGUGAUGCCCAAAACAUGCAAAGACACGUCAGUGUAAUUGUGGAUGGCGAGAGCCCUGAAAUACAGCAGGACAGCAGCGGUCUUCAUCACUGCCCCUUCUGCAGAUUCAAAGGGUCAAAAUGUGCUAUCGACUAUCACAUUGAAGGCCAUGCCUCGGUUAAAUACAGAGAGUUCACGAUCAUAAAGUGCGGUUUAGAUUGCAGGAAGAAGACGCACUUUCAUUGUUAUAAUUGUGCAAUAACAAUUAUAGACCGACAACAGAUAUUAAAGCACCUGGAAUCGCACAACACCCCAGAGGCCCCUCCAGUCACCCCAGUGGCCCCUCCAGAGAGACAUGUGGCCCCUCUAGUCACCCCAGUGGCCCCUCCAGUCACCCCAGUGGCCCCUCCAGUCACCCCAGUGGCCCCUCCAGUCACCCCAGAGGCCCCUCCAGAGGCCCCUCCAGUCACCCCAGUUUUUAUUAUUAUAAACAUAAAUAUAAACCACUUCUCCUAAUUUACAGUACGCAAUGUACAUUGUCAUGGAUGGAAGGUGGGACUUUGCUGAGUCAAACAUGAAGCAAAUACGGCGAUGGUGGUGCCUUGUUCUUUUGAAGAACUUCCCCAUGCCGUCUGCAGAGGAGCUUUCAGGAAGCAGGAAGAGAAGACGGGAGGGAAUAAAGCUACAGGAUAAAGAUCUCUGCACAAAAAGGGCUAGAGUUGCUCCAACAGCAUCCAGCUCUGAAGGAUCAGACAAAACUGAAGACCAGGAACUGGAACCUGGGAACCUGGAAGAUGAUGUUGUCCUGAAGGACACAAUUAAGGCAGCAGCAUGGUGCCAGUUACAGUCCUUCAGGACAGCGUUUCUCUCCCAGAGGUCAUUGGGAUGGAAGGUUGGGAGCAGAUGGCAGCAUCAACACAGCGCAAAUCCCAUGACGGCGGGGAUGAGGAAGAAACGUGUAAACCAUUCCAAUUCUCAUUCAGAUUACAUACUGACUAAGAACUGUUCUGUGUGGAGAUGAUGGACAGGAGAAACCUGAAGGUGUUUGCCU